CGAAAUUUAUGGUAGCGAAUGGGAUUAGAUACCCCAGUAGUCAUAAACGUAAACGAUGAAUACUAAAUUUUAACUUUUAAAUAAUGUUAAAGUUAAAGUUAACACGUUAAGUAUUCCACCUGGGGAGUAUAUCUUAGCGAUGAAACUCAAAGGAAUUGGCGAGGGUCCUUAUUAACGAUGGAGUGUGUGGUUUAAUUCGAUAUUGAGCGAUUACCAAGUUUUUUAAUGAAUGAAUUUUUUUAUUUAUUGAAAAGGUGGUGCAUGGCUGUUGUCAGUUCGUGCUGUGAAGUGUUAGGUUCAGUCCUAUAACGAACGUAACCCCUUUAAUUUGUUAUAAGUAAACGCAUUUAUUAUAUUUAAUAACAAUAAACUCUUUUUAUAGAUUCUUUUUUGGAUUAUAAAAGGAUGUUACUAAAAUUCUGAAUUAAGCAAAUAUCAUGAAUAGCUUAAGAAAAGUAUCGGCUAAUAUCUGUGCCAGCAGCCGCGGUAACACAGAAGAUGCAAGCGUUAUUCGGUUUUAUUGGGUGUAAAGGGUUCGUAGGUUUUUUAUUAAGACUUUUACUAAAUAAUAAGAAAAUUUAUUACUAAAAAGUGACUAAUAAAAUUGAGUAUAAAAAUUUAGGGUAGAAGUAAUUUUUUGUGUAAUAGUAAAAUGUUUCUAUACAAAAGAGAGCAUCAAAGGUGAAGACAUUCUACUUAAUUUAUACUGACGUUGAGGGACGAAAUUUAUGGUAGCGAAUGGGAUUAGAUACCCCAGUAGUCAUAAACGUAAACGAUGAAUACUAAAUUUUAACUUUUAAAUAAUGUUAAAGUUAAAGUUAACACGUUAAGUAUUCCACCUGGGGAGUAUAUCUUAGCGAUGAAACUCAAAGGAAUUGGCGAGGGUCCUUAUUAACGAUGGAGUGUGUGGUUUAAUUCGAUAUUGAGCGAUUACCAAGUUUUUUAAUGAAUGAAUUUUUUUAUUUAUUGAAAAGGUGGUGCAUGGCUGUUGUCAGUUCGUGCUGUGAAGUGUUAGGUUCAGUCCUAUAACGAACGUAACCCCUUUAAUUUGUUAUAAGUAAACGCAUUUAUUAUAUUUAAUAACAAUAAACUCUUUUUAUAGAUUCUUUUUUGGAUUAUAAAAGGAUGUUUUAUUUUAUUUGUAUAUUUAUGUAAGUUAUUUAUCAAAAUUAAACAGCUAUAAAUAAAUUUAUUUGAUAAAAUAGAGGAAGAGGGACUAUAGCAAGUCAACAUGCCCCGUAUAAUUUGGGCUACGCGCGCACUACAAUGGAAUAUACAAUCUAUAUCUUAAAAAAAAUAUUCCUCAGUUCGGAUUGUGGGAUUAAGCUCGCCCACAUGAAGUAGGAAUCGUAAGUAAUCGUAUGCAGAAUCAUACGGUGAAAUAGUACCCUAUUUCUUGAUAGGAAAUAGGGCAAAUAGGGAUCUUGUACACACUGCCCGUCACGUUAUGGUGAUUCUAUUGUCUAAAGUCUUUUUUAUAAAGGGA
Molecule: ribosomal RNA, 1486 nt
Filed under: Pilostyles hamiltonii
Lineage: Eukaryota; Viridiplantae; Streptophyta; Magnoliopsida; Cucurbitales; Apodanthaceae
Description: partial 16S small subunit ribosomal RNA
Rfam family: Bacterial small subunit ribosomal RNA (bases 341-1486)
Source: RNAcentral